RNAcentral lists this transfer RNA (73 nucleotides) under Camelus bactrianus (Bactrian camel). It matches the Rfam family "tRNA". From Rfam's summary of the family: Transfer RNA (tRNA) molecules are approximately 80 nucleotides in length. The record is from Rfam by way of RNAcentral. Lineage: Eukaryota; Metazoa; Chordata; Mammalia; Artiodactyla; Camelidae. RNAcentral also lists the same sequence under 2 other names.
GAGGGUAUAGCUCAAGUGGUAGAGCAUAUGCUUAGCAUGCACGAGGUCCUGGGUUCAAUCAGAGGUACCUUCU